Molecule: ribosomal RNA, 445 nt
Filed under: uncultured bacterium
Lineage: Bacteria
Description: partial 16S ribosomal RNA
Rfam family: Bacterial small subunit ribosomal RNA
Source: RNAcentral
GUGGGGAAUAUUGGUCAAUGGGCGAGAGCCUGAACCAGCCAAGUCGCGUGAAGGAAGAAGGAUCUAUGGUUCGUAAACUUCUUUUGCAGGGGAAUAAAGUGCAGGACGUGUCCUGUUUUGUAUGUACCCUGAGAAUAAGGAUCGGCUAACUCCGUGCCAGCAGCCGCGGUAAUACGGAGGAUCCGAGCGUUAUCCGGAUUUAUUGGGUUUAAAGGGUGCGUAGGUGGUUUGAUAAGUCAGCGGUGAAAGUUUGCAGCUUAACUGUAAAAAUGCCGUUGAAACUGUCGGACUUGAGUGUAAAUGAGGUAGGCGGAAUGCGUGGUGUAGCGGUGAAAUGCAUAGAUAUCACGCAGAACUCCGAUUGCGAAGGCAGCUUACUAAGCUACAACUGACACUGAAGCACGAAAGCGUGGGGAUCAAACAGGAUUAGAAACCCGAGUAGUCC